AUACUUUGUAAUAAAACUUGAACAUGU
RNAcentral lists this non-coding RNA (27 nucleotides) under Cricetulus griseus (Chinese hamster). The record is from RNAcentral. Lineage: Eukaryota; Metazoa; Chordata; Mammalia; Rodentia; Cricetidae.